This 23-nucleotide non-coding RNA is filed under the name Cricetulus griseus (Chinese hamster). Lineage: Eukaryota; Metazoa; Chordata; Mammalia; Rodentia; Cricetidae. The record is from RNAcentral.
UCUGGACGCUGUUUGAGACCUGC